Molecule: long non-coding RNA, 21903 nt
Filed under: Prunus persica (peach)
Lineage: Eukaryota; Viridiplantae; Streptophyta; Magnoliopsida; Rosales; Rosaceae
Description: long non-coding RNA (PPER_LNC001461)
Source: RNAcentral
UCACCCAAUUCAAGCCUUUGUUAAUUCCUUGGUAGUUUUUGCAGUUAAUAAAUUAGUAGAAGAUGGGUUAUCACAAUAAUCUUGAUAAGGUCCGUAAUAAGAGGGCCAAGUUUCCCUACACAAAGGAGCAGAUAAGGAACGUCUUCAAACGUCAUGACAAGAAUGGAGAUGGUCAACUUUCCAAAGAUGAGCUGGACGCAGCCUUCAAAGAACUUGGCUCGAUAUGGCCUCCUGGUAGAGCUUGGUUUGCUCAAAGGUAUGCAGAUGACGACGGCGAUGGCUUCAUUUCUAUAGACAAGGAGCUCAGCAAGCUCGUCCAGUAUGCCCUAGAAUUGAAGUAUACACUUAAGUAAUUAUAGUAUUAGUGGGUAACUAGUUCUUGUAUGUGCUUGCUAUAGAUAUAUUCUCAGCAAGCUCGUUGACUAUGCCCUCAAUUGAAGUUCUCUAUAUAAGUAAUCGUAGUGGUGGAGCUAAACUUGGUGUCUUAGUGACCACAACCACUUCAAGUCUAUAUGUAACUCCGUCUGUGUGUAAGCGUCUUUAAUUACUUGUAAGCAGCCGUAGUACCUAUAUAUGUGUGCAAGGUUGAAGGAACGAAAGAGGUGACCUUUUGUUUCCCUUCGUUACCAGGGAAGAUGAAUUUGAACCCUGAUUAUGUAUAAUAUAUAGUGAUUAACAAGAAUAAAGUAACAAACUUUGUGUAUUGAUAUCUAUUACGUAUACAUGUGUACGUAGGUGUGUCUAUAUAUUUAUAUAUGUACAUAUAUAUUGCAUUACAUACGUAUACAUACACAACUUACACUGAUAUUGUAUUACAUUCCCAAAUUCCUUCCCGGUCAAAAAGUCAACUUUUAUACUAAUAAAAUAUUCUAGGGGCAAAAUAGUCUUUUAUCUGAAUAAAUUAACAAUUAAAAAUUUAUUUAGGACUGGGUUGUUACAUAAACUCUUAUAAAUACCUCCUUAUGGAGAAGAAUAAAGUUAACCUAAUACAUUCAAACCAUAUUCAUAUUUUAGCACUAUGAAUGUUACCUUAUCGAGCAUGAGAUGUAUUUUGCUCACCCAGUAUCUCAUUCUCCUCAUCUAGGGGAGAGUAGCGUUGAAGAGUCGAAAUGGAUGGAGUUAUUUCAGGAUAAUAGUGAGGUUAAUUGGCUAGCCAUGUGUGACUUGACAACUAGUAACGAACCAAUCUGCACAGAACUGGCCAGUACCGCACUUGUGACUGAACCUACCAGUACCGUCGCACCCACAGCUUAUAACGUCUAUGCCGCCCCUCUCUCUACUACCUUUCUAGUACCCGGCCCCGAGUCUCCUCAUUCUAACAUUCUUGAGGUAAGUAUAUAAUCUUUGAUUAAUACUAACAAUGAUUGUGAAAUUAGUAAGUGUAGUGUGUAUCAGUUACCACCAAUGACUAAUCAUAGGAAGCCACCAUACGGAUAUUCACCAGAGCCUGCGACAUAGGUAAAGUAUCUUAUUUCUCAUUAUAUGUCUACUCAUAGAUUAUCUGAAGCUUGUCAGGCAUUUGUAAAUCAAAUGUCUAUGAUGACUAUUUCUAGUAAAGUACAAGAUGCAAUAUCUGAUUCAAAAUGGGCCAGUGCUAUGACUGAAGAGAUGCAAACUCUUGAGAAAGAUCAAACCUAGGAAUUGGUGCAACUGCCAGAAGGGAAGAAACCAGUUGGUUGCAGAUGUGUUAUAAAACACAAACCGGAUGGUUCUAUUGACAAGUAUAAAGCCAGACUUGUUGCCUGAGGUUUUUCCCAGACUUAUGAUAUUGAUUAACAUUUGCACCAAUGACUAAGAUCAAUACCAUUUGAGUUCGAUUAUCUUUAGCUGCAAACUUUAACUGGCCAUUGCAGCAAUAUGAUGUAAAAAAAUACCUUUUUACAUGGAGACUUACAAGAGGAAGUCUACAUGUCAUUGCCGCAAGGUUAUAAUGCUCAUACUGAUGCCAGUGUUCUGCGUAAAUUGAAGAAUACACUGUAUGGAUUGAAGCAGUCUCCGCGAACUUGGUUUAGGAGAUUGCGUCGUGCCAUGAAAAAAUAUGGUUAUGAGCAGAGCAACGCUCAUCAUACUUUAUUUCUUCAAAGGAAGAAUGGUAAGUUAACAGUUCUUAUUAUUAAUGCGGAUGAUAUGAUCGUGACUAGUGAUUGUCUUGAUGAAAUUGACAAAUUAAAAGGCUAUUUAGCUUCUGAGUUUGAUAUGAAGGAUCUCGGUGGAUUAAAAUAUUUUUUAGGUAUUGAGGUAACUUGUUCUGAACAUUGAAUUUUCUUGUCACAAAGAAAAUAUGUUCUUGUCACAAAGAAAAUAUGUUCUUGAUUUGCUAAAGGAAUCAGGUAUGCUUGGGUGUGAACCGAUUGGUACUCCUAUAGAACAAAAUCAUGGUUUGGAAGAAUAUCCAGAUCAAGUUCUAAGUGAUAAGGGACGAUAUCAAAGGUUGGUUGGUCGUUUGAUUUAUUUGUCUCAUACUAGACCUGAUAUUGCAUAUGCAGCAAGUGUUGUAAGUAGGUUCAUGCAUAAUCCAAGUCCAUGAUAUAUGGAUGCAGUAGUCUGAAUUUUGAGGUAUUUGAAAUUUGCACCAGGAAAAGGUAUGAUGUUCUUAAAGCAUGGGCAUGUAAAGGUUGUGGGGCAUACAUACUCAGACUGGGCAGGAAAGGAGGAUAAGAGGAGAUCGACAUUUGGUUAUUUCACGUUUGUUUAGGCGGUAACUUGGUUACUUUAUAGUCUAGGUGAUUGACCCCAAGCUUUUUGGAUGUUAGGUAUAUAUAGUUGGCUAUCGCGUUUAAGUACUUUUGGUUUCAGAGCGACACCCUUAUCCAUAUGGCAUCUACAACACAACAUAAAACAUAAGUUCUUUUCUUUUCAUAUCGGAUAUUGCUUUCGAGUUUCAUAUCCACCACGCUGUGUGUUAUCCCUAUGGCAUCUACGAUGGGGAUGCUUGUCCCAAUAGUCAUAGGCCAAAUCUCACCGAAAAGUCGAGCACUUUUUAGAAAGAAAGAAAGAAAGAAAGAAAAAGAAAAAAAAAAAAAAAAAAAAAAGGGUUUCACAAACCGAAAAGUUGAAUUAUUCAUUUCAACAAUUGGCAGAUGAAGUAUUUUUCUUAUCAACUUUACUACCAAAGAAAAGCUCACAAACCGUUUUAGACCAAACAAUUAAGCAUCUAUUAUCACUACUUGCAAGGUUCCAUGCUUUAUGUGCACGCAAAAUCUAGUCCAUAUAUCAUCCAUUGGAAUCAAGUAUUAUUUUUAAGGAGAGUGAUUGGCUCCUUGCCAAACUAUAUAUCAACAAAAUAUUAGCUAAAAUAUUGACAAUGUACCAUAUAUUGUAGAUAUGUUAGUACUCGAUACCAACAAAUUCUUUUCCAGAAUAAAGACCCAUGAGGCAUGUGACUUGAGGAAUAUUAGAAUACUUUUUUAAGGUCCAACAUGUGCGCAGGGGACCAGGCAGAAUCUUGUAUAAAUGGGAUUGAAUUCAUAGUGCAAGUCAUACAAGCCCUAGUUAAUUCCUUAUCCUUGGUAGUUUUGCAGUUAAUAAAUUAGAAGAAGAUGGUUUGGGAAACAAAAAGGUAUAAGGCCCCGAGCAAGGUUCCCUACACAAAGGAGCAGAUAAGGGACGUCUUCAAACGUCAUGAGACGAAUGGAGAUGGUCAACUUUCCAAAGAAGAGCUGGAUGCAGCCUUUGACGAACUUGGCGCGAAAUGGCCUCCUUUUAGAGCUUGGUUUGCUCGACGGUAUGCAGAUGACAACGGCGAUGGCUUCAUUUCUAUAGACAAGGAGCUCAGCAAGCUCGUCGAUUAUGCCCUAGAAUUGAAGUAUAUACUUCAUUAAUUAUAGUAUUUGUGGGUAACUAGUUCUUGUAUGUGCUUGCUAUAGAUAUAUUCUCAGCAAGUUCAUUGACUAUACCCUCAAUUCAAGCUUUCUAUAUAUGUAACUCUGUCCGUGUGUAAGCGUCUUUAAUUACUUAUAAGCCACCGUAGUUCCUAUAUAUGUGUGCAAGUUGAGGGAACAAAAGAGGUGAUCUUUUGUUUCCCCUUGUUACCAGGGAGGAUGAAUUUGAACCCUGAUUAUGUAUAAUAUAUAUAGUGAUUAACAAGAAUAAAGUAACAAACUUUGUGUAUUGAUAUCUAUUACAUAUAUAUAUAUGCGUACGUAGGUGUGUCUAUAUAUUUAUGUAUAUACAUAUAUAUUUUAUUACAUACGUAUACGUACACAACUUACACUGAUAAAAGCUCCGUGUUAUAGAGAUUACUGCAAUCCACUCAACACCACAUGUGGAAGCAUGGACAUUAGCAGAGUAACUUAAUAUGAUUCCAUACCAAUAUCUUGUUCAAGUGGCGUAGAGAUUUAAAUUUAAAAUCUUCAUAUAAGUAUAUCAAAAAAGAAAAAGAAGAAAAGAAAGAACUCUCACACAACUUUUCAUUGUUAUACACUCUUUUCCUAAGGGUGUACAUCCGUUCAAAACUAAUACAAUUUUACCAAUCUGCAUCUGAUUCAAUAUAUAGAUUGGAUUAUGAUUUUCUAAUCCAAUCCGAUCUCAUUAGAAGUAUAAAUCCAAUCCGAUCCAAUUAAAAUUGAAUUAGACUGGAUUGAAUGAUCAAUUUUUAUAAUGAAAAAUAGUAAUAACAAAAUAUAAAACAUUUAUCUUCAAGUUGAAUAUAAUCAAACAUUUCAGAACUUGGAGAGCACGAUGCCAUGCAGAUACCAACAGCAAAGACAGGUCCAUCCUCAACGUCAACGACCUUGUCAAAUAUGCCCUAAAACGUGGCUAUAAACUCUGAUUAACUCAGAAGCAGAUGAGGGGUUUUAGUCAACUAAUUAAUAUAAUAUAUAUGUGUAUAUGUGUGUAUGUAUGAGAGUUUUUAAUUACUUAUCUGCGAGUUCCAGCCAUAUAUACAUAUAUGUGUGUAUGCUAGAGAAGGAAGGAGGUGAGCUUUUGUUUCCCCCUCUUUGGCAAGGUUUGAUGAAUCAGAAUUAUGAUUUAUGUGGAAACUUUUGUAUUUCGCAAUGUGAUUUAAUAAUCAAAAAAAUUUAUAUUUAGAUAUCCUUUAUUAAGUAUCACCAAUUUAAUAUAAUUUUAUAAUUCACACCAACUAGCUUUUAAUAUAAUGAUAAUUGUCUCCACUUAAUUGAAUAAAGUUGCUACUCCGCUCCCUUCGCGGCCUCGGCAUCCCUGACAGCUUGGAUAGCAGCACCACCAAAUCUUGAUUUGAUUCAUAUGAAUACAACAUAACCUGCUUUGUAAACCUCGUAUGUAUAGUUUGAAGAGGAAAAGAAUUAUCAUCCAUACCAAAUCCAGAAAAACCAAAUUAUGUAUAUUAAAUGAGUUAGUAGUUACAAGGUCAAUAAUUUAUGGAGUAUAGGUGAUUGACCCCAACCUUUUUGGAUGUUGGGCAUAUAUAGCUAGCUGUCGCGUUGAAGUAGUUUUGGUUUCAGAGCGACACUCUUAUCCAUACAAUAUGUCGGUGUGCCGAUGAAAGAAUCUAUUGAUUUGUCCUCGCAAUGCAAGUGAAGGAUAAACGGCAAACUGUGUGAAUGUUUUUACUGUGAUCAGUAUGGUUGUAGAAACCAAAGCGAAGGCCUAGCUAGUUGACCCAAGUCAAGCAAAAGAAUCUAUUAGAAUUCUUCAUGUAGGACGUACGCAGGCUUAGUUUUUGUGCUUGCUGCUGAUUAGUCUGUGAUCAUGUAAUAUAAUGUCUCUGUGUAUGUACAUAUAUGCGUAUGUUAAUGAAUUAAUGACCAGUGAGCAGCCAUAGCUCUGUUUCAUAAAAUGGAUAAGCACAAAAUUUAGAAAAUAUGUGAAGGGCAUUAGUUAAUGGUUAUGUUGUUUUAUUGUUAAUGUCUAAUCUAUAUUUCAGUAAUACCAUGUGACACCAAAUGAGUUCUGUUACAAUCACCUUUUUCAUUUUCUUUUAUGAAAAAAAAGAAAAAGAAAAAAAAAACUUGAAACCAAAUGAGUUUGAUUCACAUGAAUUGCAUAAUGGGUAUAAGAUUGUCGCAAGUAAUUUGUUGAAGUGUUUCUCAUACAAUGACUCCAAAAUCAGAAGCCAAAAAGGGGAAGAAAAAUUAUGAAGCCAGAACCUGGCUUACCUGACGAAUCAGCAUCCAACGAGAGAAAAGUUGAAGCCGAUCGAGUUUAUGAUUUUCUUGGAGGACUUGAUUCACCGUAUGAUGGUGUCUAUAGCCGUAUUCUUACUCUUAGUCCUAUCCCGCCCCCUCUCGAAGCCUAUACCAUGGUCAUGGAGGAAGACACUCGUUAGUCUGCUAUGCUUAGAGGAGGUUCGAUGGCCCUCAAAGUCGACCCAGCCCGUCAAUGACCGGUCACUACCCAUCCAGAAAAUUUUCUUCUUCUGCUAGGCCUCGUUCUUCUGGAUCUAUCCCUAGCUCUCUUGAAGGUCCUCCUAAGUGUCGUCAUUGUAAUGGGAAUCACUAUUCUGAGAAGUGUUUUAAGGAGCAUGGUUAUCUUGAUUGGUUUGCUAACUACACGGCUCGUAUGUAUGGUCCUAAAGCCGCCUAUACUAUGACUCAAGAUGAGGCUCGUCCUCUGGCCCUUUCUACAAAUCUGUGUGCUUCUGAUACCAUGCCAUGUAUGGGUUCUAAUACUUGGAUAAUUGACACUGAUGCUUCUGAUCAUAUGACUUUUGAUAAUAAUAUGUUUGAUGAGUUGUCCCAUAACCCUCGUGACCCUUAUAUUACUAGUGCUAAUGGUUUACCUUCCCCAGUUAUUGGUGAAGGUACCAUCCAACUCGCUCAUUCUUUACCUCUAUCCCAUGCACUCUUGGUUCCAAAUAUUCGUUGCAAUUUGUUAUCUGUUGGGCGUUUACUUGAUACACUUAACGCGUCUGCUACUUUCUAUUCUACCUAUUGUUUUUCCAAGAUCUCAAAACUCACGAGAAGAUUAGGCAUAGUAAAUAGAUGGGGGGUUGUAUUACUUAUAGUUAUCAGUUGCAGCAGUUCGUGGUUGUGUCGCUAAUAAAGUUUAGAAUGGCAGUGUCAAAGACAAGCAACAACUUUGGUUGUGGCAUCGUCAUUUAGGACAUCCGUCCUUUGUUUAUCUUAAACAUUUGUUUUCUUCAUUAUUUAGUUUGUGUGAUGAGUCUAGCUUCAAAUAUGAAACUUGUGUAAUGGCCAAGAGCUACCGUAUUGUUUUUCCCUUGAGUAAUAAUAAAGCUGCAUUGCCUUUUGAGUUAGUACAUUCGGAUGUAUGGGGUCCUUCCCGUGUGACUUCUAAUGGUUUCCGUUGGUUUGUCACGUUUAUUGAUGACUGCACUCGCUUAACAUGGGUAUAUUUGAUGAAGCAUAAACAUGAUGUUGCCUCUAUUCUUCCUAUUUUUUGUGCUAUGGUGUCUACUCAGUUUCAUGCCAGUAUUAAAGUAUUUCGGACUGAUAAUGGAGGUGAAUAUGUGAAUCAUACCUUGACCCAUUUCGUCCGUGAUCAAGGUAUCAUCCACCAAACUACCACUCUAUUCACUCCUCAACAGAAUGGUAUGUCUGAACGUAAGAAUCGUCAGUUACUUGAAGUUGCUCGCUCCCUUAUGUUGGAUAUGUCUUUUCCCCAUCAUCUUUGUGGACACGGUGUCUUGGCCACUGCUCAUUUGAUUAACCGUACUCCUAGUCGGGUUCUUGAUUUCAAGACUCUGCUUGAUGUGUUAUGUACCCAUACUUCUCCAGUCUCGGUCUCUAAGUUACCUCCAAAGGUGUUGGGUGUGUUGCUUUUGUUCAUGUCUACUCUCAUUAACGGAGUAAACUGGACCUGUGUGCGCUUCGCUGUGUCUUCAUUGGCUAUUCUACCACUCAAAAGGGUUACAAGUGCUAUCACCCUCAUUCACAGAAAGUACAUGUUACUUUGGAUGUCAUCUUUCACGAAAAAGUAUCGUAUUAUGUCUCUUCCUCCUCUCUAAUUCAGGGGGAGAAGGGGAGUGAAUUGAAGAGUUUCGGAAUGGAAAAUCAUGGACGUAAAGAGGCAUGUGAAGGAAUUUCUGACCAAGUGCCAACGACCGGUCGUGUAAAGGAAGCAACCGGUCACCAAGUAAUCUGCCUGGAAUCGACCGGUCGAGCAGACGAUGACGACUAGUCGCAUGCCUAGAUGACUGAUGACUGCCAGGAAACGACGAUCGAUCGCUCAAAAGAUGACGAUCGGUCGCCUAUUGAAUUCUUUGAUGAAAUUUGCUCUUCGCCAAAAGAACGUGACAGUGAUACUGGUGACUCUUGUGAAGAUAAGAUCGAUAUAAGACCCCCAUCUGCUCUGCCACUGCCCCAAUCAACUCUUGAUAAUGAUGAAGUACUUUCUAAUGAUGUGUCUACUUAUUCAUUACCCCCACCCACUACUCGUGGUAAACCUAAAGUACAAUAUUCUAUUGAUAUACAUUCCAAAUCUAAAUAUCUCAUUAACCAUUAUGUGCCAACUCAUCGUCUAUCUAAGUCAUAUGCAUCAUAUUUGUGUCAAUUAUCUAGUGUUUGUAUGUCAACUAAGUUGCAUGAUGCUUUAUCUAAUCUAAAAUGGGUAGAUGCAAUGCAUGUUGAGAUGGAAGCCUUGAACAAGAAUGCCACUUGGGAGCUAGUUCCUUUACCAAAAGGAAAAAAGGCAGUUGGGUGCAGAUGAGUGUUUACUUUGAAGACAAUGCUGAUGGUUCCAUUGACCGUUACAAGGCAAGGUUGGUAGCAAAAAGUUAUACUCAGACUUAUGGAGUGGAUUACACAGCGACCUUUGCUCCAGUAGCAAAGCUCAAUACUGUGCGCGUACUCUUGACCUUGGUUGCUAAUCAUGAUUGGCCUAUGUUACAAUUCGAUGUCAAAAAUGCAUUCCUCCAUGGUGACCUCAAGAAAGAAAUAUACAUGGAUCCUCCGCCGAGUAUUCCUGUGACCUCUAAGGAGGGUAUGGUGUGCAAACUAUGGAAAUCCUUAUAUGGAUUAAAGCAGUCUCCAAGAGCUUGGUUUAGGAAGUUUGCUGCAUCUAUUAGGAAGUUUGGGUAUGUAUAAAGUAAUUCGAAUCAUACGUUGUUUCUGAAGGGUCGCAAAGGUAAAUUGACAGCUUUAAUAAUUUAUGUUGAUAAUAUAAUUGUAACUGGAGAUGAUCAUGCAGAAAUACACAGUCUCCAGAAAUAUCUGGCGUCUGAGUUUGAGAUGAAAUCAUUAGGUGACUUGAAGUAAUUUCUCGGGAUUGAAGUUGCUAAAUCUAAGCGUGGUAUUUUCCUGUUUCAAAGGAAGUAUAUUUUGGAUUUGCUUGCAGAAACUGGAAUGAUGGAUUGUAAACCAAUUGAUAAUCCUAGUGAACAAAAUCACAAGUUGGGGUUCUAUCCUGAUCAAGUUCCUACUGAUAAGGAGUGCUAUCAACAGCUCGUGGGGAAAUUAAUUUAUUUAGCUCAUACAUGUCCUGACAUUGCGUAUGCAGUGAGUGUAGUGAGUCAGUUUAUGCACUUGCCUAGUGAAGACCAUAUGGGAGCUGUGACGCGUAUUUUGAGAUAUCUCAAAGUAACUCCUGGCAAUGGGUUAAUGUUUUCAAAGUAUGGUCAUAUAGAUGUGGAAGGAUACACAGAUGCUAAUUAGGCAAGUUUAGCUAUUGAUAGGCGUUCUACGUCUGGGUAUUUUACGUUUGUUGGUGGUAAUCUUGUUACUUGGAGAAGCAAGAAACAAAAUGUGGUGUCUUGUUCUAGUGAUGAGGCUGAGUAUCGUUGGAUGGCCCAUGACGUAUGUGAGUUACUGUGGUUGAGGAGAUUAUUGAGAGAUCUUGGCUUUGGACCUAAGAAACCUAUGGAUUUAUAUUGUAACAAUAAGGCUGCGAUUGCAAUUGCUCAUAAUCAUGUACAACAUGAUCGUACAAAGCAUGUGGAGGUUGAUCGAAAUUUCAUUAAAGAGAAGUUCGAUGCGGAGAUUGUUUCCUUCCCAUUCAUCAGUUCUGAGUAUCAGUUAGCUGAUGUCCUUACGAAAGCUGUUUCUACAAGUAUCUUCCUCAACUCGCUUGACAAGUUAGGCAUGUGUGACGUCUUUGCUCCAACUUGAGAGGGAGUGUUGGCGAGAUAUCCUAACCCUAUUAGGAUAUUUCCUUCUUAUUCUAAUAGGAUUUUAUUUAUUUCUUUUUGUAUAGAUAUUACGUAAUUAGGACUUUUCUUAUUUCCUAGUAUAACCCUAUUAGAGUUUGUAACCUUGUAUUAUAAAUACCUCCUUUCGAAAAAUGAAAUACAUAUAAAAAAUAUUAUACCUAUAUUGUUUGACUAAGAUGAUGCAAGGGUUGAGUCUGAUAAUACGCAGGGUAGAAGAUGAAGAGGCGAGAGAACAUGUUUGUGUCAAACAUGUAUUUUAAUAAUUUUUUUUAAUAAAAAAAAAUGAAUUGAAGAGUUAACAGAGUUAAAAUGUUGUUAAAUAGUGUGCCACAUGUUACAAAAUCAAGGAGGAAAUGGGGACACAGAGAAUUUGGUAACAGAAAAAUUCAACUUGUAAGAGUAGCACUAGUUUAUAGUCCAUAGGUGAUUGACCCCAACCUUUUUGGAUGUUAGGCAUAUAUAGAUAGCUAUCGCGUUUAAGUACUAUUGGUUUCAGAGCGACACCCUUAUCCAUAUGGCAUCUACAACACAACAUAAAACAUAUGUUCUUUUCUUUUCAUAUCGGAUAUGGCUUUCGAGUUUCAUAUCCACCACGCUGUGUGUUAUCCAUAUGGCAUCUACAAUUGGGAUGCUUGUCCCAACAGUCAUACGCCAAAUCUCACAUAAUGAAUCUCGAUCCAACUUAAAGAGUAUAAGAUGGAGAUCUCAAGUACUCUUGAGUCUGAUAAUUAUAUUUCCAACGUUAAUUUAGGGGUUUUAGUACUUAUGAUUAAUAAUUUAUAGUUAAAAUGUUUUUAUAUGUUAUAUUAAAAUACUAUGUGCAAAGGAUUCACUAGUGUAGUGGUUUAAAGCAAUUUCUCUUUCAGACAACGUUAUAGGUUCGAAUUCUAAUAUCUGCUAGAAAGAAAGAAAGAAAAAGGUUUCACUCACAAACCGAAAAGUUGAAUUAUUCCUUUCAACAAUUGGCAGAUGAAGCAUUUUACUGUUAUCAACUUUACUACCAAAGAAAAGCUCACAAACCGCUUUUGACCAAACAAUUAAGCAUCUAUUAUCACUACUUGCAAAGUUCCAUGCUUUAUGUGCACGCAAAAUCUAGUCCAUAUAUAUGACUCGAUUUUUUUUAAAUAAUCAACUGUAGUUUACCAAUUUCAUCUGCGGAAAUUACAAGAGGCAACACUUAGAACAAGAGAAACCUAACUCAAAAACAAGAAGAACAAGAAUUUGUUUGAUAUUUCAUCCAUUGGAAUCAAGUAUUAUUUUUAAGGAGAGUGAUCGGAUCGAUGCCAAACUAUAGUAAGUAUAUAUCAACAAAAUACCAAACUGGAGUAUCAAGAAAAUAUUGAAUAAAAUAUCAAUAAUGUAUCAUAUACUGUAAAUAAAUUGGUACCCGAUACCAACAAAUUCUUUCCCAAAAUAGAGACCCUUGAGGCAUGUGACUUGAAGAAUAUUAGAAUACUUUUGGAGGUCCAACAUGUGCGCAGGGGAUCAGGCAGAGCCCUAUAUAAAUGGGCUCCCUCAUAGUGUACAAGUCACCCAAUUCAAGCCUUUGUUAAUUCCUUGGUAGUUUUUGCAGUUAAUAAAUUAGUAGAAGAUGGGUUAUCACAAUAAUCUUGAUAAGGUCCGUAAUAAGAGGGCCAAGUUUCCCUACACAAAGGAGCAGAUAAGGAACGUCUUCAAACGUCAUGACAAGAAUGGAGAUGGUCAACUUUCCAAAGAUGAGCUGGACGCAGCCUUCAAAGAACUUGGCUCGAUAUGGCCUCCUGGUAGAGCUUGGUUUGCUCAAAGGUAUGCAGAUGACGACGGCGAUGGCUUCAUUUCUAUAGACAAGGAGCUCAGCAAGCUCGUCCAGUAUGCCCUAGAAUUGAAGUAUACACUUAAGUAAUUAUAGUAUUAGUGGGUAACUAGUUCUUGUAUGUGCUUGCUAUAGAUAUAUUCUCAGCAAGCUCGUUGACUAUGCCCUCAAUUGAAGUUCUCUAUAUAAGUAAUCGUAGUGGUGGAGCUAAACUUGGUGUCUUAGUGACCACAACCACUUCAAGUCUAUAUGUAACUCCGUCUGUGUGUAAGCGUCUUUAAUUACUUGUAAGCAGCCGUAGUACCUAUAUAUGUGUGCAAGGUUGAAGGAACGAAAGAGGUGACCUUUUGUUUCCCUUCGUUACCAGGGAAGAUGAAUUUGAACCCUGAUUAUGUAUAAUAUAUAGUGAUUAACAAGAAUAAAGUAACAAACUUUGUGUAUUGGUAUCUAUUACGUAUAUAUGUGUACGUAGUUGUGAACUUGUGUCUAUAUAUUUAUGUAUGUACAUAUAUAUUGUAUUACAUACGUACACAUGCACAACUUACACUAAUAAAAGCGCCAUGUUAUAGAGAUUACUACAAUCCACUUAACACCACAUGUGGAAACAUGGACAUGACCAGAGCAACUUAAUAUGAUUCCAUAUCAAUAUCUUGCCUUUUGUUUUGGUACAUUCUGAUGUUUGGGGCCUACUCCAAUUACUAGUACUUCUGGCUUCCGUUGAUUUGUUAUUUUGUGGAUGAUUGCACUCGCAUAUCAUGGUUGUACCUGAUGCAAAAUAAGAGUGAUGUUUUUGCUUGCUUUCGAACUUUUCACCAGAUGAUUAAAAAUCAAUUUUCUGCUACUUUAAAGGUGCUUCUUUCAGAUAAUGGUGGUGAACAAUUUUGAUGAUUCUUCCCUUCAUCCACACCAUUCUUACACAGUUAUUUUCAGAAACAUGGAAUUCUACAUGAGACUACUUGUCCUUACACACCUCAGCAGAAUGGUGUGGAUGAAGGGAAGAAUCAUCAAAAUUGUGAAAUUACUCAUGCUAGUCUUAUAGGUGCCCAUAUGACCCCAUAAUUCUAGGAGGAGGUGAUCACCUAUACAGUCUAUCUUCUUAAUAUUGUGUUCCUGCUAGUGUCCUGUAGUUUAAGACACCAUUGGACAAAUUUGAGGCUUAUGUUUCCUUCCUAUCUCAUAUCACUCUUCUGUCACAUCUCGGGAUCGGCUCCGUCAUAGCACGAUAUUGUCCGCUUUGGGCCCCCUUUCUGCCCUCACAGUUUUGUUUCUAUGAAUCACGAGCAACUUCCCAGUGAGUCACCCAUCCUGGGAUUGAUUUAGCCCCAACUCGCUUAACUUCAGAGUUCCCAUGACUCUGAAGCCAGUGAGCUCUCAAAAGGCCUCGUGCUAGAUGGAGGAGGGCAUGUACAUAUAAGGCACAUCACCCCCUCUCCGUUGGUCGAUGUGGGAUGUUACACUUCUACCUUGUGUUUUUAGAUGCGUUGCUUUUGUGCACUUGCACAAACAUCAACAUACGAAAUUCGAUCAGUGUGCUGUGAAGUGUGUGUUUAUUGGUUAUCACCCCCAUCAGAAGGGUUAUCGGUACUUUCAUCUACCGAGUCAACAUUUUUAUGUUACUAUGAAUGUUACGCUUUCCAAGCAUGAGAUGUAUUUUGCUAAACCAGUAUCUCAUUCUCCUCUUAUGGGGGAGAGUAGCGUUGAAGAGUCAAAAUGGAUGAGUUAUUUCAGGAUAAUAAUGAGGUUAAUUGGUAGCCAUGCGUGACUUGACAGCUAGUAACGAACCAACCUGCACAGUACCAACCAGUACCGCACCUGCGACUGAACCUACCUGCACAUUCGCACCCACAGCCGAUAACGUCUGUGCUGCCCCUCUCUCUACUACUUUUCCAGUACCGGCCCUAAGUCUCCUCAUGCUGACAUUCUUGAGGUAAGAAUAGAAUCUUUAAUUAACACUAACAAGGAUUGUGAAAUUAUUGAGCGUAGUGAGUAUCAGUUACCAACAAUGAGUAAUUGUGGGAAGCCACCAUAUGGAUAUUCACCAGAGCCUGCGACAAAGGUAAAGUAUUUUAUUUCUCAUUAUAUGUCUACUCACAGAUUAUCUGAAGCUUGUCAGGCAUUUGUAAAUCAAAUGUCUACUGUGGCUAUUUAUAGUAAAGUACAAGAUGCAUUGUCUGAUUCAAAAUGGGCUAUUGCUAUGAUUGAAGAGAUCCAAACUCUUGAGAAAAAUCAAACCUAGGAAUUGGUGCAACAGCCAUAAGGGAAGAAACCAGUUGGUUGCAGAUGUAUUAUACCAUAAAACACAAACCGGAUGGUUCUAUUGACAAGUAUAAAGCCAGACUUGUUGCCCAGAGUUUUACCCAAACUUAUGGUAUUGAUUAUCAAGAGACAUUUGCACAUGUGGCUAAGAUCAAUACCAUUCGAGUUCUACUAUCUUUAGCUACAAACUUUAACUGACCAUUGCAGCAAUAUGAUGUAAAAAAUGUCUUUUUACAUGGAGACUUACAGGAGGAAGUCUACAUGUCAUUGUCACCAGGUUAUAAUGCUCCUACUGAUGCCAGUGUUCUGUGUAAAUUAAAGAAUGCACUGUAUGGAUUGAAGCAGUCUUUGCAAGCUUGGUUUAGGAGAUUGCGCCGUGCCAUGAAAAAUAUGGUCAUGAGCAGAGCAAUGCUCGUCAUACUUUAUUUCUUAAAAGGAAGAAUGGUAAGUUAACAGCUCUUAUUAUUUAUGCGGAUGAUAUGAUCGUGACUGGUGAUGAUCUUGAUGAAAUUGGCAAAUUAAAAGGCUAUUUCGCUUCUGAAUUUGAUAUGAAGGAUCUCGGUGGAUUAAAAUAUUUUCUGGAUAUUGAGGUAACUCAUUCUGAAUAUGGAAUUUUCUUGUCACAAAGAAAAUAUGUUCUUGAUUUGCUAAAGGAAACAGGUAUGCUUGGGUGUGAACCGAUUGGUACUCCUAUAGAACAAAAUCAUGGUUUGGAAGAAUAUCCAAAUCAAGUUCCAACUGAUAAAGGACGAUAUCAAAGGUUGGUUGGUCGGUUGAUUUAUUUGUCUCACACUUGACCUAAUAUUGCAUAUGCAGUAAGUGUUGUAAGUAGGUUCAUGCAUAAUCCAAGUUUACGAUAUAUGGAUGCAGUAGUCCAAAUUUUGAGGUAUUUGAAGUCUGCACUAGGAAAAGGUCUGAUGUUCUUAAAGCAUGGCAUGUAAAGGUUGUGGGGUAUACGGACUUAGACUCGGCAGGGAAUGGGGAUAAGAGGAGAUAGACAUUUGGUUAUUUCACGUUUGUUUAGGCGGUCACUUGGUUACUUGGAAGAGUAAAAAGCUGAAGGUUGUCUAUUUGUUGAGUCCAGAUGUCGAGUAUCGGGCUAUGGUGAAAGGUGUUUGUGAAGUGCUAUGGUUAAAAAGGCUUAUGGGGGAGCUAGGUUUUCCUACUGAGAAUACUAUGAAGUUGUAUUGUGAUAAUCAGUCAGCAAUUAAGAUUGCUGAAAAUCCAGUUCAACAUGAUAGAAUGAAACAUGUAGAGAUUGAUCGAAACUUUAUUUAUGAGGAAUUGGAAGAGAAGAUUAUUGAAGUUCCAUAUGUUAAGACUACUGAACAAUUGGCAAAUAUGUUGACCAAGGUUGUAUCAAAUCAAGCCUUUACAGAUUCACUUACCAAGCUAGGUAUCUGCGACAUCUAUGCACCAUCUUGGGGGGAGUGUUGGCUUGAAUCACAAUAGGAAUUAUAGACAAUUACCUUUAUUAUAUUGAUUUGUAAUUAUAGGAAUACCGGUUUGACCUGGAUUGUAUUUAUUCCUUUUUCCUUAUUGUAAUUAGUUACUAGAUAGACUUGUAUUUGUAUCACUAUAAAUACCUCAUUGUGAGAAGAAUAGAAACAUACUGAAUCAUUCGUAACCCUAAAUUCUAUUUGAAUGGUGUUAGCAGCAGCCAAAAAGGGGAAAAAUUUAUGAAGCGAUUUUCCUUCCAAUGGUGAUUGUGAAUUGAGUCGAGUGAGAGAGAAAGACUUAAGAGGCUGAAAGAAUUGACAAAAGCUCGUGAAUCAUCUGCUCGGCAUUGGCACUGGCUGGUUUUCAUGUAAAUUUGCAGUAUGCAAGUUCUGUUCAAAUCACAUUUUUCAUUGUCUUUUAUGGAAAAAAAAACUGAAACCAAAUGAGUUUGAUUCACAUGAAUUGCAUAAUCGGUAUAUGAUUGUCGCAAGUUAUUUGUUGAAGUGUUUCUCAUACGAUGGCUCCAAAAAAGUGGAGAAAAAUUAUGAAGCAAAACCUAGCUUACCCAACGAACCAGCUUCGAAUGAGCGAAAAAAUUUAUCGAACCAGAUACAGGGGCUAAGUUUUGCAUGGCAGAGAUGAUGCAAGGGUUGAGUCUGAUGAUACGUAGGGUAGAAGAUGAGGAGACGAGAGAACAUGUUUGUGUCAAACGCGUAUUUUAAUAAUUUUUUUUAAAAUAAAAAGAAAUGGGUUGAAGAGUUAAUAGAAUUAAAAUGUUGUUAAAUGGUGUGCCGUGUGUCACAAAACCAAUGAAGAAAUAAAGAGGCACAAGAGAUUUGGUAAGAGGAAAAUUGGACUCGUAAGAGUAACACUAAUUUAUAGAGUGGGUGAUUGACCCCAAGCUUUUUGGAUGUCAGGCAUAUAUAGCUAGCUAUCGCGAAGUACUUUUGGUUUCAGAGCUACCGUCUUAUCCAUAUGGCAUCUACAAACAUACAGCAUAUGUCGGUGUGCCGAUCAAAGAAUAUAUAAAGCAUUUUACUGUGAUCCAUUAUACGCUUUCGUCACGUGUAGUGAUCCAUUAUAUUGUUGGAUAUUGCUAUUGGUUUCGGUUUUUUGAAUGAACCAUAAUCUUAAUCUUACACUGCAAGUCCAAACCUUAUCUCUUGUAGUGUUUCAGGCACCCCUUUCUUGUAGUGUUCUUGUGGUGGUUCUGUUCAAAAUGUUGUCCACCCAAAACCUUUGCAUACUUUACAGAAAAAUUACCCCACAUAUCGGAUAUUGCUUUCCAGUUUCAAAUCCACCACGCUGUGUGUUAUUCAUAGGGCAUCUACAAUGGGGUAUGCUUGUCCCAAUAGUCAUAAGCCAAAUCUCACAUAAUGAAUCUCGAUCCAACUUAAAGAGUAUAAGAUGGAGAUCUCAAGUACUCUGAGUCUAAGAAUUAUAUUUCCAACAUGAAUUUAGGGGUUUUAAUACUUAUGAUUAUUUUAUAGUUAAAAUGAUUUUAUAUGUUAUAUUAAAACACUACGUGCAAAGGAUCCACUAAUGUAGUGGUUUAGAGCAAUUGUUCUCUCAGACAACGUCAUGAGUUCGAGUCCUAGCAUCUGUGUAGUUGAAUUAUCCCUUACAAACCGAAAAGUUGGGCACCUUUCAGAAAGAAAGAAGAAAAAAAGGUUUCACAAACCGAAAAGCUGAAUUAUUCCUUUCAACAAUUGGCAGAUGAAGCAUUUUACUGUUAUCAACUUUACUACCAAAGAAAAGCUCACAAACCGUUUUAGACCAAACAAUUAAGCAUCUAUUAUCACUACUUGCAAAGUUCCAUGCUUUAUGUGCACGCAAAAUCUAGUCCAUAUAUGCUACUCGAUUUUUUUUAAUAAUCAACUGUAGUUUACCAAGAAUUUGUUUGAUAUUUCAUCCAUUGGAAUCAAGUAUUAUUUUUUAGGAGAGUGAUCCGCUCGUUGCCAAAGUAUAUAUCAACAAAAUAUUAGGUAAAAUAUUGACAAUGUACCAUAUACUGUAGAUAUGUUAGUACUCGAUACCAACAAAUUCUUUUCCAGAAUAAAGACCCAUGAGGCAUGUGACUUGAAGAAUAUUAGAAUACUUUUUUAAGGUCCAACAUGCGCGCAGGGAACCAGGCAGAGCCCUAUAUAAAUGGGAUUGAAUUCAUAGUGCAAGUCAUUCAAGCCCUGGUUAAUUCCUUAUCCUUGGUAGUUUUGCAGUUAAUAAAUUAGAAGAAGAUGGUUUGGGAAACAAAUAGGUAUAAGGCCCCGAGCAAGGUUCCCUACGCAAAGGAGCAGAUAAGGGACGUCUUCAAACGUCAUGACAAGAAUGGAGAUGGUCAACUUUCCAAAGAAGAGCUGGACGCAGCCUUUGACGAACUUGGCGCGAAAUGGCCUCCUUUUAGAGCUUGGUUUGCUCGACAGUAUGCAGAUGACAACGGCGAUGGCUUCAUUUCUAUAGACAAGGAGCUCAGCAAGCUCGUCCAGUAUGCCCUAGAAUUGAAGUAUAUACUUCAUUAAUUAUAGUAUUAAUUAGUGGGUAACUAGUUCUUGUAUGUACUUGCUAUAGAUAUAUUCUCAGCAAGCUCAUUGACUAUACCCUCAAUUAAAGCUCUCUCUAUAUAUGUAAUCGUAGUGAUGGAGCUAGACUUGGUAUCUUAGUGGCCACAACCACUUCAAGUUUGUAUGUAACUCCGUCCGUGUGUAAGCGUCUUUAAUUACUUGUAAGCAGCCGUAGUACCUAUAUAUGUGUGCAAGGUUGAAGGAACGAAAGAGGUGACCUUUUUUUUCCCUUCGUUACCAGGGAAGAUGAAGAACCCUGAUUAUGUAUAAUAUAUAGUGAUUAACAAGAAUAAAGUAACAAACUUUGUGUAUUGAUAUCUAUUACAUAUAUAUGUGUAUGUAGGUGUGUCUAUAUAUUUAUAUAUGUACACAUAUAUUGUAUUACAUACGUAUACAUACACAACUUACACUGAUAAAAGCUCCAUGUUAUAGAGAUUACUACAAUAUUCCACUCAACACCACAUUUGGAAGCGUGGACAUGAGCAGAGCAACUUAAUAUGAUUCCAUAUCAAUAUCUUGUUCAAGUGGCAUGCAGAUUUAAAUUUAAAAUCUUCAUAUAAGUAUAUCAAAAAAGAAAAAGAAAAAAAGAAAGAACUUUCACCCAACUUUUCAUUGUUACACUCUUUUCUAUAUAAUUAUUUUCUAGGAGUGUACAUCGGUUCGAAACUAAUACAAUUGUAUAAAUCCGCAUUCGAUCUAAUAUAGAUUGGAUUAUAAUUUUCUAAUCCAAUCCGAUCACAUUAGAGAGAUAUAAAUCCAAUCCGAUUUGAUCCAAUUUAUAUUGGAUUAGACUAGAUUGGAUGAUCGGUUUUCAUAAUGGAAAAAGAUAAUAACGAAAUAUGAAACAUUUAUCUUCAAGUUUAAUAUAAUAAAACACUUUAAUAGAAUGUAAAUUUAAAAUAUCAAUGAAAUGCUAGAGAAAAUUAUUCUGAUUUUAUAAUAUAUCAAACAUAACUUCAUCAAAUUACUUAAAAUAUUUAUAACUUUCUAAAUGAAAAUUGCCUAAUAAGCAAAAUGAGGAAAUCCGUCAUCUGAUCUGAUCAUAUGUUGGUGUUGGAAAUUAGGAAUCCAAUCCACUCCGCCAAAUCAUUGAAACAUAUUAAAGUUGAAUUGGAUUGGUCGGUUUAGGGGAAUUAAAUUGGAUCUUGCACACCCCUACUGUUUCCUUUGGUGAGCAUUUACAUUAUACGUCACAAUCUCUUAAAACAUAGCACAACAAAAUGAAUAUAAUGUUUUCAAUAAAACAACGAAAUAUUCGUGAGGAUAAUCAAAUGGUCAAAUGAUUUCAAAUUUGUUGAUUUUCUUAAAUGGAGAUUGAAAAAUUAGACAGUUCAUAUCCUUAAACCACAUGUGGAAGUGCCCAAAAAAGUAAUUAUUUCAUGCAUAUUAUCUACAAAGAGUUCAAUUUGUAAAUAAAUUUUAAUUUUUUUUAUACAAGCGAUGUCUAAAUUAUUCUAAAUUAAUUAAAUUUAUGAGAAGGGAGGUUCGAACUUAGGUGCAAGGAGGCGCGCUCACUUUACUGACCAAUUUGCAUAAUCCACAUCUACAAAUCAUUCUUAUUAAUAAAUUAAAGAAUUAUGAUAUAUGUACACACAUAUAUACACGUUGCUUAACCAAUAAAUGAAAUGGAUGAAAAAUGUUACUCCUUUUUUUCUUUAAUGAAGAAAAAUGUUACAAUUUAUAAAUGGAUAAAGUCACACACACCAAAUACCAAGUCACAUAAGUUAGGGGCAAAAAGGCAGACAUUUCAACUGGCAUGGAGGUCCCGAUGUUACACUUAUGUUUAUUUAUUAAUAUUAUACUCUAGACUCAUAAAAUAUAUAUAUAUAUAUAUGUGACAGAAAUGAUGUUCUAAAUUACUCCAGCUACAGAUAGGCAGGUUGGAAUUCGAGUUCAAAUUAAAGUUUCUCCACCCAUAUUAAUAGCAUAUCAAGACAUUGUACACCCAAAACCUUUUCAUAAUUUACAAGAAAAUCACACCCCUCCCCCAAUCUAUUUGGAUAUGAAGGCUAUCGCUGUCGAGUUUGAUAUCCAUGCUGUGUUAUCCAUAUGACAUCUAUCUACAAUGGGGGUCACUGUGAAAAAAAUAGCAACAGUCACUAUUAUUUGGUGAUUAAAAUUUAGUCACCCCUAAUUAGUCACUAAAUAUCACCUGGUAAUUGUUACUCUUUUUUUUUUUCUUUUUGUAGCGGGUGAUUGUCCAAUAGUCAUAGGCCAAAUCUCACAUAUAAUUGUUCCCAAUAGUCUUCGGUUUGAUUCUUAUAAGGACAAACCAUGUGGCCUUCGUGUUUGUAUAUAUGCCUUUGGUCUGAGGAUUCUAUUUCCAACAUGAAUUUAGGGAUUUUAAUUCUUAUUGUUAAAAAAUGCUUCACCACGUUGGCCGGCGGAAAAGUUGAAUUAUAGAAAGAAUAAAAACACAAACGGAAAAGUUGAAUUAUUCCUUUCGAUCACUGUCCAUAACAACACUGGCAGAUGAAGUAUUUUUACUAUUAUCGCUUGCAAAAUUCCAUGCUUUAUUUGCACGCACAAAUCUGGUCCAUAUACAAACUAGAAAAUGAUCAAGUACAACAUGCAACACUUAGAACAAGAGAACAUAACUCAAAAACAAGAAGAACAAGAAUUUGUUAGAUAUUCAUCCAUGGAAAUCAAGUAUUAUUUUUAAGGAGAGUGAUCGGCUCAAUUCCAAACUAUAUAUCAACAAAUUAUUAGCUAAAAUAUCGACAAUGUACCAUAUACUAGUAUUGCAUACAUGUUAGUACUCGAUACCAACAAAUUAUUUUCCAAAAUUAAGACCCCUGAGGUAUGUGACUUGAAGAAUAUUAGUUAGAAUACUUUUUUAUGGUCCAACAUAUGCCCAGGGGACCAGGCAGAGUCCUAUAUAAAUGGGAUUGAAUUCAUAGUGCAAGUCAUUCAAGCCCUAGUUAAUUCCUUAUCCUUGUUAGUUUUGCAGUUAAUAAAUUAGAAGAAGAUGGUUUUCGAUACAAAUUAUAAGGUCCCGAACAACGUUCCCUACACCGAGCAGCAGAUAAUGAAUGUCUUCAAAAGUCAUGACAAGAAUGGAGAUGCUCAACUUUCCAAAGAGGAGCUGAAAGAAGCCUUCAAAGAACUUGGCUCGAAAUGUCCUCCUUUAAGAGCUUGGUUUGCUAAAAAUUAUGCAGAUGACAACCGCGAUGGCUUCAUUUCUAUAGACAAGGAGCUCAGCAAGCUCGUCAAGUAUGUCCUAAAAUUGAACUAUACACUUCAUUAAUUAUAGUAUUAGUGGGUAACUAGUUCUCAGCAAGCUCGUUGACUAUGCUGUCAACUGAAGCUCUAUAUAUGUGUGUGGAUAUAUAAACAUAGUGGCGGAGCUAGACUUGGCAUCUUGGGGGGUUGCAAUCACUUCAAGCUUAUAUAUGACUCCGUUCGUGUGUAAGCAUAUGUAAUUACUUGUAAUUCGUAUUACCUAUGUUACUAUGUAUGUGUGCAGGGUAGAGGAAACGAAGGAGAUGACCUUUCGGUACCUCUCGUUUCCGGGAAAGAUGAAUUUGAACCCUGAUUAUGUAUAAUAUAUAGUGAUUAACAAAAAUAAAGUAACAAACUUUGUGUAGUGACAUCUAUUAGGUAUAUGUAUGUGUGUCUAAUAUAUUAUAGUACAUACGUAUAUACGUACACAACUCACACUGAUAAAGUUCCAUGUUAUGGAGAUUAUUACAAUCCACUCACCACCACAUGUGGAAAGAUUGUGAUAUGAGCAGAUCUAGAGCAAUUUCACAUGCAUCCAUAUCAAUAUCUUGCUCAAGUAGCAUAGAGAUUUAAAUUUAAAUCCUCAUAAGUAUAUCCAAAAAAAG